AAAUUCUCAAAGUAAACCUUUUGUUAAUUCAACUGGUCUUUGCUUUGGAUUUGGAGGCCUUUGCAGAUGUCACAGUCUGCUCCUCUUAAAUAAAUUAGCUGGAUCUCAGUAUACACUUGGUUCCACUCGGCGUGAUAAGUAUCACUCGCUGAGGACACUGUUAAAAAGGUGGCCAGGCAAUGCAGAUGAACCGCUUCUAAUAGUCCAUUGACUUGGACAAAUUAAAAAUUUAUG
RNAcentral lists this unclassified non-coding RNA (234 nucleotides) under Thanatephorus cucumeris. Its description in RNAcentral is "partial internal transcribed spacer 2". Lineage: Eukaryota; Fungi; Basidiomycota; Agaricomycetes; Cantharellales; Ceratobasidiaceae. The record is from RNAcentral.